AUGGCAUCCUACAAGACUCUCUUUUUAACCAUUUUGAUUAUUUGCAUUGCUUCAGGCAUGGUUGCCGUUUCAGGAGCAGGCGGAAAAUUAUGCUUCAUAUCGAAUUUUUGUCCAACUGCACCAGAACAGUGUGACCAUUUUUGUAAAGGAUCAUUGGGCAAACCAGGUGGCUCGUGUUUAGGGGGUGAAUGUUGUUGCAAUUUGUAAAGUUUGAAUACAAAAUAAACAAUUUCUUUGCUUGUUUC
Lathyrus oleraceus (garden pea) is the source of this 245-nucleotide long non-coding RNA. RefSeq lists it as uncharacterized. The record is from RefSeq and is a predicted model, not a curated record. The transcript is spliced from 2 exons. NCBI's taxonomy places the organism in Eukaryota, Viridiplantae, Streptophyta, Magnoliopsida, Fabales, Fabaceae.